Molecule: ribosomal RNA, 493 nt
Filed under: uncultured bacterium
Lineage: Bacteria
Description: bacterial SSU rRNA
Rfam family: Bacterial small subunit ribosomal RNA
Source: RNAcentral
AACGAACGCUGGCGGCGUGGAUAAGACAUGCAAGUCGAACGGGACAACAUCUGUAGCAAUACAGGUGUUGUUUAGUGGCGAACGGGUGCGUAACACGUAAGCGACCUACCUCGAUGUGGGGCAUAGCCGGCCUAACGGCCGGGUAAUUCCGCAUACGCUCUUGGAGGGGCAUAUCUCCGAGAUGAAACCAGCAAUGGGCAUUGAGAGGGGCUUGCGGCCUAUCAGCUAGUUGGUGAGGUAACGGCUCACCAAGGCUACGACGGGUAGCUGGUCUGAGAGGAUGGCCAGCCACAUUGGGACUGAGAAACGGCCCAGACUCCUACGGGAGGCAGCAGUGGGGAAUCUUGCGCAAUGGCCUAACGGCUGACGCAGCGACGCCGCGUGAGGGAUGAAGCUCUUCGGAGUGUAAACCUCUGUUGAUCGGGACGAAUGGCGGUAUUUUUCCGACUUGACGGUACCGAUUGAGGAAGCACCGGCUAACUCCGUGCCAGCC